Molecule: ribosomal RNA, 253 nt
Filed under: uncultured bacterium
Lineage: Bacteria
Description: partial 16S ribosomal RNA
Rfam family: Bacterial small subunit ribosomal RNA
Source: RNAcentral
UACGGAGGAUGCAAGCGUUAUCCGGAAUUAUUGGGCGUAAAGCGUCCGCAGGUGGCUGUGUAAGUCUGCUGUUAAAGAGUGAGGCUCAACCUCAUAAAGGCAGUGGAAACUACAUGGCUAGAGUGCGUUCGGGGCAGAGGGAAUUCCUGGUGUAGCGGUGAAAUGCGUAGAGAUCAGGAAGGACACCGGUGGCGAAAGCGCUCUGCUAGGCCGCAACUGACACUGAGGGACGAAAGCUAGGGGAGCGAAUGGG